GCAGCACACGGCGCCCGAACAGGACCUGUCAAAGGGCGGCUGAAGCAGAGGGCACCGGAACGCAGCGACCGGGGGGUCCAGAGAGACCGAGCACCCCUACAGCGGCGGGUGUGUCGUUGUCGUCUCCGAGGACCUGAACUAAGCAGUUCGCCAUCUGCGUGGGCUGCAGGGCAAAGGCUGCAGGCUGAGUACAGGGUAAGGCGCGCUUUGCUUUUGGUAGUGCCAUAGUGCAGGAUAUUGCCAUAUUGCAGGGAUAACAGGAAAAUGGAGGACGAAGUAGCCCUAGAUUUAUUGCAGCGCUUUUUAGAAAAGCGGGGAGUAGACUGCAGACAACUAGCGGGACUAGUUGCGGUCGGUCGAGCAAAAUCACGUUUCACAAGUACGGAGUCAUGGUUUGAAGUAGCCGCUUGGAGAAAUCUAGGGGAUGUGCUCCGGGAUAUGGUAAUAGACGAUGACAAGGCAGCAGAGAAAUUGCUGAAACCGUGGGGAGACGUGAUAAAUGCAAUAAAACGAUAUCGGGUAGAAAGGAACUUGGCGGCGGUGGCACCUGACGGAUUGAGAGGAGGAAAGGGUGAGUCAGGUUCCGAGAGGGGGGCGUGGGCAGCAGGCGGCGGGGCGGGCAGCGCCUCGCUUUGCAGUCCCAGGAAGGUUCCCGGCCCCCCGUGCUGCGGCUCCGCAGCGGUUACACGGGGGAAAGAGGCCGUCUCGCCGGGGGGAGAUGGAGCUACGGCAGAAUUAAGCGGAGGGAAGGAAGAACGUGUCAGUGGGCGAGAAUACCGUGAGACUAAGGAUAGGGAAGGUGAAAGAGGGGAGAGAAGGACAGUGGGGAGAGUUAAUUGGCGGAGAAUCAUGGGCGAAGCUGUGGAGGAAAAACAAUCAGGAGCAUUUACAGACAUCUGUCAGGAUCCCGUGGCGUUCCCGGUGAUGUACGAAGGGGACAGCCAGGGAAACAUGCAAGGGAGUCACAGUAUGCUUAAUUGGAAGCUGCUGUCUCAAUUACGUAGUACAGUCAAUGAGUCAGGAUUGCAGAGUGAACCUACGAAGCAAAUGUUGGAUUAUAUCUGGGGAGGGACGCUGCUAUGCCCCGAAGAUAUCAAGGUGCUAAUGAGAACGAUAAUGACCCAGUGGCAGUUGUUGUUAUGGCAAGCCCAUUGGCAGAGGCAUUGCGAAACCUCAGCGCAGCGACCGAGGGACCCUAGCGAUCCGUUCCGCGGAGUUACCGUAGGGCAGCUUAUGGGGACGGGCGUGUUUGUUACCAUCACUGCUCAGCUCCAGUUAGGUCCGGAGUGUCGCCUUGAGUCCAUGAGAACAGCUCAAGUGGCCGUGGAGAAUGUUAAAACCACUGCAACAGCCCCCUCUUACCUGGCUAUGAAGCAAGGCAGGGACGAGCCCUUUGCAGGGUUUAUCGGUCGGGUAACUGCUGCCAUAGAUCAAGCAGGUGUCCCGGAGUGGAUGAAGGCGGCUUUAUUGCGGCAGUGUGUUAUGGGAAACACAAAUUCGGCUACAAAGGCUCUUAUAUUGACACUGCCAGGGGAUGUCACUAUUGAACAAAUGUUAGAAAGAAUGAGUAGGGUUCCAGUAGGGCCCCAAGCCGCGUUAGUAGAAGCGGUACGCGAGUUAGAGAAAGAUCUUCUACAAGCCCAGCAGCGAGCCUUUGCAGCUCUAGCCCCGCUGCGGACAGCAGAAAGGCGACCUCGAGCUCCAUCUCGACGAGGAAAUCAAUGCUUGCGGUGUGGAAAGGAGGGACACCACCGCCGUGACUGCCGAGCAGGACAGGUGCGGUGUGAGAACUGCAGGUCGGCGAAACACAACCCCGUGGCGUGCAACCGCUCGGGAAACGGGGCCGCGGGGGGACGAGGGAAAUGGAAGUGAUGGCGGUGCGGUGCGGGACAGCCGAGACCGAGCUGCUGCGGGAGACCGGAGGCGUCAGUGGACACCGGCAGCCGACCCUCAGCGUGUGGCGAGUGGGCACCGAGCAGAGGGGCG
This 1986-nucleotide long non-coding RNA is filed under the name Anas platyrhynchos platyrhynchos (common mallard). RNAcentral's name for it is "lncRNA (ENSAPLG00000020725.1)". Lineage: Eukaryota; Metazoa; Chordata; Aves; Anseriformes; Anatidae. The record is from RNAcentral.